GCCCCCUGCCGGCCGCGGAGGGCGCGCCUUGGAGGGAGAGGACUUUAGGUGACGCCGCCAGGAGGCGAAAUUUCACCUGCCAGCAGCUCUGGAGGUCAAAAGAAAUGAGACUGCUGGGCUAAGAUCAAGGUGUCAGCAGGGCUGUAUUCCUUCCCAAGGCUCCAGGGGAGAAUCUGUUCACUUGCCUUUCCCAGCUUCUAGAGGUUGCCUACAUUCCUUGGCUUGCGGACCCUUCCUCCAUCUCCAGAAUCAGUAACGAAAGAUCCAAAGCCAUAUCCUGGCUGAGUUGGCUGAGUUGAGCAGGACACUGACAAGGAGGCUGCUGAGCCUGCAACUCGACUGUUCUGUUUGAGGAGCUCUGUGCUUUAUCAUAGAAAUGGAUCUGAGAUGUGGUCUCCCUAUGCUGCCCAGGCUCAUCUCAAACUCCUGGGCUCAAGCAUUCCUCCCACCUUGGCCUCCUAAAGUGCUGGGAUCAUAGGCGUGAACCACUGUGCCUGGCCUCAUGAUAUAACUUCUUAAUGUUAGUUUUUCCUUAAAGAGGGACUGCUUGC
Molecule: long non-coding RNA, 551 nt
Filed under: Homo sapiens (human)
Lineage: Eukaryota; Metazoa; Chordata; Mammalia; Primates; Hominidae
Description: non-protein coding lnc-CMC2-1:4
Source: RNAcentral